CGUGCUGGAACACCAGUGAGGAUAUUAGUAUGGGCUUGAGGCUUUACCUCCCUAUCCUUGCAGACAAAUCCUAAGCCUCCUAAGGCAGGGCUUAUGGGGGUUAUACACAGAUCAGCUGCACUUAGCCUCUUAAAACCGCUGUGCAGCCGCUACCUCACGCCAAAGACGCCUUUGAUUGGGCAUACUGGAGACACGCAGAUCUUUAAUUUGGGCAGAGCUGAGCAUUGGCGUCCCAGGCCGCGAGCCCGCCGCUUCCUGACGGCGGCAGCGAGGUGAGGGGAGCAGCCCAGUCCCAGCGAUCCCAGUGGGAGGCGAGGAGACCCAGCAGCACCCCAACCGUCCGAGGGCUGCCCCGAAGGGCCAGCCAACGGCUGUGCCCCCACCGCCUUUUUUCACCGAGGGGCGGUGCGAGUCACGUGAGGCGGCUCGACCAAUAGGCAGCAGCACGGUGGUCUCGCGGGAGCGGCGGGUGGUAUUUAAGGGCCGGGGAAGGGCUGAUUGCUCUCUUUGCCCGCCAGACGCCGACGCGGUAACUGCCGAGCCGCGGGGAGGAUGGCGGCAAAAAGCGUCCUGGGGUGUCGGCGGGGCUUUGGGGAGCCCCAGGAGGCCGCCCUCGGCUCCGUGGGGGUGGGAGGCCGAGCCCCAUGGGCCUCCGGUGCUGGCGUCUGGAGUUUCCCCUUCAAAUAUCCCUAGGAGACACUUAGAAAUUCCACGUUUGAAAUGGCCUAGAUGUGGAUGAUCACACUUAAAUUGGAGGCAGUGCUCAGCCCUACUUAGGAAUGAACAAUACCUUCUGCUAAGAAGAGUUUUCAAGUGUGAUGGUACUGCUUAACCACCUAGGAUGCACUUCAUGAGCUUGUGUGAUAAACAGCUUGAGUCAAGAGUUCCAUCUAAAUUGAUUGGUCUCCAGAGAGAAAACCAGAAUGUGCAAGGGAUUCGAACUGAUAUUAAAUGUCAGCUUGUGAUUUGUUGAGUGGAUGACUACUGACCACCCAGGAUUACUCCAGUUGUCCUCUGUAAUGUGUUGUCUUGCAAGUGGAAUUGAGAUAAGCAAUGGCUACAGCUACAUAUCUUCCAUUAUUGUUUAAACAGGAAUCUAGCUAUUGGUUGAAACUGAAGUUUCUUAAAGUUCUGUAAUGUAUUUGUGUGGAUUAAUUGAAAUAAAACAAAGAUUCUACCAGAA
Molecule: long non-coding RNA, 1183 nt
Organism: Oxyura jamaicensis (ruddy duck)
Lineage: Eukaryota; Metazoa; Chordata; Aves; Anseriformes; Anatidae
Exons: 5
Source: RefSeq, a predicted model, not a curated record